UAGGGAAUAUUGGACAAUGGGGGGAACCCCGAUCCAGCCAUGCCGCGUGGAGGAAGACUGCCCUCUGGGUUGUAAACUCCUUUUAUAUGGGAAGAACCGUCCUCAUUGAUGAGUGACCUGACGGUACCAUAGGAAUAAGCACCGGCUAACUCCGUGCCAGCAGCCGCGGUAAUACGGAGGGUGCAAGCGUUAUCCGGAUUCACUGGGUUUAAAGGGUGCGUAGGCGGAUAUGUAAGUCAGUGGUGAAAUCAACGGGCUCAACCUGUUAACUGCCAUUGAUACUGUGUCUCUUGAAUAUGAGAGAGGUAGGCGGAAUGUUGCAUGUAGCGGUGAAAUGCUUAGAUAUGCUACGGAACACCGAUUGCGAAGGCAGCUUACUAUUUCGUAAUUGACGCUGAGGCACGAAAGCGUGGGUAGCGAACA
Molecule: ribosomal RNA, 423 nt
Filed under: uncultured bacterium
Lineage: Bacteria
Description: bacterial SSU rRNA
Rfam family: Bacterial small subunit ribosomal RNA
Source: RNAcentral